UUGUAGUAAUUUUAAUUUAUUGCGAGUGGAUAAGCAUUUAAAACAAAAACGCCAGUUUUGUUUGAAUCACAGUUGCAAGAAUUUUUAAAAUUGAUUUA
Drosophila navojoa is the source of this 98-nucleotide long non-coding RNA. NCBI's taxonomy places the organism in Eukaryota, Metazoa, Arthropoda, Insecta, Diptera, Drosophilidae. The record is from RefSeq and is a predicted model, not a curated record.